ACAUUGUAUGAAAGGAGAGAAGGUUAGCACUCCCCUUGACAAGGAUGGAAGAGGCCCUUGUAGUCCAGGCAAAGUAACCCAUUUUGGAGCCAAAAAAUUUGGCUCCAAAAUUUGUAU
This is a small nuclear RNA of Limanda limanda (common dab), 117 nucleotides long. The record is from RefSeq and is a predicted model, not a curated record. Lineage: Eukaryota; Metazoa; Chordata; Actinopteri; Pleuronectiformes; Pleuronectidae.